RNAcentral lists this small RNA (438 nucleotides) under Pongo abelii (Sumatran orangutan). RNAcentral describes it as "processed transcript". The record is from RNAcentral. Lineage: Eukaryota; Metazoa; Chordata; Mammalia; Primates; Hominidae.
GCGGCCGCGGGCUGCAUGGGCAGCGCCCGCGCUCCGCCGCCGAGCCGUCGCGGAGCCGCGCAGCCCUCGGAGCACGAAUAUAUACAGCCCUGCUCUGGGACACACCUCCAUUGGAUUUAAAAGACAGUCCUCAUCAGCACUGACUUUCAGCUAUGGAAUCGGGCAUCCCUCAGAAGGGCUUUAUUUGAAUCCCGGUGAUAUGCAGUGGUAGAAGAGUUCUUUAUGAAAGCGAUAAUGGGGACAGAGGAACGGUGACUUGAAGAUUCUUUCCUUGCAGUCAACACAUGUACUGUGGGUGCUGUGCCUUCCUCGGGGUGUGUGUACGUAGGCACAUACCAGUCAGCUUGCACUCUGUGGGUGAUAUUCUCUGAGGUGGACUGGGUCACCUGGGAGCUUCCGGGGUCCGUGAACGGGGACCACUGAUGAACGGGUGGUGCA